This 3170-nucleotide long non-coding RNA is filed under the name Sarcophilus harrisii (Tasmanian devil). Its description in RNAcentral is "lncRNA (ENSSHAG00000031160.1)". The record is from RNAcentral. Lineage: Eukaryota; Metazoa; Chordata; Mammalia; Dasyuromorphia; Dasyuridae.
GAAUUCUUAUCCCAAAAGCUGGAGUCUUUGAGUUUAACAAACACUAGAUAGCUUUAGUCAUUGUCUAUUGAUUGUGUCUUGUGAAGCUAACCUAUUCCACUCAUCAACUACUCUAUUUCUUAGCCAGUAUUAAAUGGUUUUGAUAACCGCUGCUUUAUAAUAUAGUUUUAGAUCUGAUACAGCUAGGCCACCUUCAUCUGCAUUUUAAAAAAUCAAUCCCCUUGAAAUUCUUGACCUUUUGUUCUUCCAGAUAAUGGUGAUAUUCUUGACAGAAUUUGGGAAGUCUGAAAGAGGUAUGGGUUUGAAAAGAAAGAUAAUGAAUUCUUUUUUGGACAUGUUGACUUUGAGAUGUCUCAAAUGGUCUUCUGAUUAUAACUAAUCUAACUUUCUCUUGCACCAUGGUACCAGGAAGAUAGAAAAUAAGUUUUCAGAAGCAAGGAUCAUUGAUGAUACUCCUUGAGCAGAGAGGAAGCUUUGCUUUAGUCUGGCACAAGCAAAUGGAAAAAGAAUUUUUACAAAUCUGCUAUAGGCAGUCAGCCAACAAGCAUUUAUUAAGUGUCUACUGUGUGAGGCACUCUGCUGGAUAUUAGAAUAAACUGCUCUGUUUCCCUUUAUGGCUCACACUAUAUGAUGGUAAGUAGAAUCUGGGGAUGGCCAUGCUAAGAUUCUAGGCCCAAGCACACAGAAGAUUUCUAUGUCAGUGAUAGGUUGAUUUGUGUAUGAAUGAGAUAAUGAAUAGGUCAGAAGAUUAAGGCCUUCUUCUCAGAAGACUCUCUGAUACCUAUUUCAUGAUAAACUUCCACUCUUCCAAUGAGGAAAAAUAACAUUAAUACACAAAAAAAUACAGAAUAUUCAUAAUGUAUACAUGCAUACAAAAUAUACAAAAUGUAAAUACAAAGGACUGAAGAACACUAAUAACCAACAACAUUAGGUAAAGUCUUGUCUUGAUGGUAGUACUUAAAUGGAAAUUUAAAGAAAGCUAGGGAUUCCAAGGGGUACAGAUGAGGCAGGAAGUAUUCCAGGUAUAAGCAAUCAUUUAUACAAUGACACAGGGAUAAAAGAAAGAACAUUGUGUAUAAAUCAAAUUUCUAGGAAUCUUUCUAUAGAACUCUAACAACACAGCAAGCUGGGAAGGUGAAUGCAUCUGAACUCUUAGACCAUCAUCACUCUGCUCCAGAGUGGCACUCAUGUCCCAACACUAUGAGUCUGAUAUGCUCUGUUUCAAUGACCUUGUCCCCUAUUUGGACCACUCACUGAAAAAAUCUUUUUUCAAAAGUCUUACCUAAACAAGAGAAGGCUUAGAGGAGACAAAGUAGCUCUCUGAAGUAUUUGAAAGACUGCCAUGUGGAAGGGAAAUGAGAUUUAUUCUUCCCCAAAGGACAGAACUAAGGACAUAGGGUGAACUUUUCAAAAAGACAAAUUUAGACUUAAAGAAUUACAGCAAAGGAUCGUAGUUUUAGAGCUAGAAGCAGCCUUUAAGAGUCAUCCAGUCAAAUCCCCUCACUUUUUAGAUGAGGAAACUGAGACCAGGAGAAAGGAAGUGAUUUGACUAUGACCCUACAGAUAAUUAAACAGUAGCUCCAGCAUUUUGAAUUCAGAUCCCAUGAUACCACAUUCAAAGUCCAGUGCCCAUUCUACUGAACCACAUCACAUAAGGAAAAGUGAAAUGUCUGAAGAGGUAGUAGGUUCCCUUCUCAAGAGAAUGGACAACCACUUGAAUAUGUUAUAGUAGGGAUUCGUUUAUGGGCAUGGGUUGGACUAGAUGAACUCUGAUUCCCUAGCAACUUAAAAGUUCUGUGGGUCUGUGAUAUGAAACUGGGAGUUGUGUAAAGACUAUACAUCCAUGCUUAUGUGAGUAUCUAGAGUCUUGUACAAAGUGGUGGUGAGAUGCCAACUUCCUAAUUUUCCACAAUACACUUGAACUUUCUAAUCACACAUCUGAGUCCUCUACCUGGACUGUAUGAAGAGAAGAGGAUCUAUGCCCCCUAAGCAGAAUAAUACCUCACAUAUCCUUUGUACUUUUAUAUUUUCCACACACUUUCCUUGAAACAAUCCUAGAAGGAUAUAGUAUAAGCAUUUUCACCCUCAUUUUCCAGAUGAUUAAAAUAACUCUCAAAGAAAUGAAGACACUUGCCCCAAAAAUGGCUUCCCAUACUGCUGGACAGCUCCUUUGUUAAUUACUGAAUAACCCUGGAUUCCCACCUAUGCAUCUAUUCAUGAAAGAAUUACUCACCUUCCAGGUUUUCCCUGCUUUCAAAGCUUUCAUCACAGAGCAUACUGCCUCUGAGAUGAAAGCCUAGCUUCUGACCUCUCUUUCCCCAGCCCCUGAGCUUUUUCUUGGCAGGUCUAAGAGAAAGGCAUGGAGGGAGCAAAAACACAACUCCCUGCAUCAGGCCAAUUUAACUGGCCCACACUCUCCCCUUUCUCGACUUUGGCUAACCUACCACUGUGACUGCCCUACCACUGCCACCACAUAUAUAGUUCAGUACCCAGCCUGUACUACGUUAGCUCAGACUACCCAAGAAUGGUGAUAGGAUGCAAAUGCAUCUCCCUACCCAUCUUCUUUCCUCCUUAUUAGAAUUGCUAACCACUGACUUGAAAUAAAGACCUUCUGUGUUUUCACUGGACUCCCAUCUCCUAUAUUGCUCUAGGAGAUCGUUGGAUGCAAAGAUUUGACCCACUUGGAGCAGUUUAUUUACAUAGGAUCAAAAUAUCCACUCUGAAUCUCAGUGAUGCACAUGCAUAUGGUGUAGAUGAUGGGUAGAUAAAGCAUGUAUAAAAUGCAAAAAUUAAAAAUCAACACAAAAAAUGUCAGCAGUCGGUGGGUUUGCUCCUUUUGAACUCGAGAAAAAGAAGGUACAUACUGUCAAGUCAAGGACUAUCAGAUCUAUUUUUUGACUGUACAUUACAAAAAAAGUAUAAUUUUUUCUUUUUUUUUUUACAAUUGCAAGUUCAUCUUAUUUAUUCUUGUAAAUGUUCUCAGACAAUGUUUGUAAUAUGGGCUGUGUUGCAAAUCUAUACAAUUAAAUCUGUGAUCCUAAGAUUCAUGUUUUCCUAGGAGAUUUGCAUUGGUGUCUUAUUGUCACUGGGGAAGGACUUGGGAAAAUGGCUUGGGAAGAAAAUCAGAGGAAUGGCCUGCAGCAUUACUAGUUUUGUUCCCUAACAGCAGC